GUAANGCUGUCNGCUAUGGGAUGGCCCCGCGGUGCAUUAGCUAGUUGGUAAGGUAACGGCUUACCAAGGCGAUGAUGCAUAGCCGAGUUGAGAGACUGAUCGGCCACAUUGGGACUGAGACACGGCCCAAACUCCUACGGGAGGCAGCAGUAGGGAAUCUUCCACAAUGGACGCAAGUCUGAUGGAGCAACGCCGCGUGAGUGAAGAAGGUUUUCGGAUCGUAAAGCUCUGUUGUUGGUGAAGAAGGAUAGAGGUAGU
Molecule: ribosomal RNA, 258 nt
Filed under: uncultured bacterium
Lineage: Bacteria
Description: partial 16S ribosomal RNA
Rfam family: Bacterial small subunit ribosomal RNA
Source: RNAcentral